This 422-nucleotide long non-coding RNA is filed under the name Olea europaea subsp. europaea. The record is from RNAcentral. Lineage: Eukaryota; Viridiplantae; Streptophyta; Magnoliopsida; Lamiales; Oleaceae.
CAUAUCUUCGUCAUCAUCGAGCAAAUGCUCUAAUUCAUCUCUUACCUGAAAAAUUAUGUAAGAAUUACCAGAUGAAGGGUAAUAGAAAAAAGUAGCUAAUACAUGACCACAAUUAUAAGAAAGUACCUAGAAAUUAUCAAGACAAUAAUGUUGAAAAAUAUGAUUUUGCUUAAAAAAAGCAAAAACCUAUGCCAUAUGCACCAUUUUUAUGUAAGUACAUGUAUACAUGAAAUCUAGCGCUCAAGGAAUGGAACAGUGCUAAAAUUUACGAAAAUCUUAAAGGACCAGUAGUAGAAGCAUUUUUACUCCAAGCGAUUAGUAACACCAAUCUGUCAGAAAAGAAUUGAUAAAGAAAAAGCCCCAAGUAUGAAAACUGCAUUGUAUUUGUAUUAUUAUUGCCCCUUGGGCAAAAUUUAUAUGAA